Molecule: ribosomal RNA, 359 nt
Filed under: uncultured bacterium
Lineage: Bacteria
Description: partial 16S ribosomal RNA
Rfam family: Bacterial small subunit ribosomal RNA
Source: RNAcentral
CCUACGGGGGGCAGCAGUGAGGAAUAUUGGUCAAUGGGCGCGAGCCUGAACCAGCCAAGUAGCGUGAAGGAUGACUGCCCUACGGGUUGUAAACUUCUUUUAUAAAGGAAUAAAAUGAUGCACGUUUGCCUUUUUGUAUGUACUGUAUGAAUAAGGAUCGGCUAACUCCGUGCCAGCAGCCGCGGUAAUACGUAGGUUCCGAGCUUUAUCCGGAUUUAUUGGGUUUAAAGGGAUGGUAGAUGGGUUGUUAAGUCAGUUGUGAAAGUAUGCGGCUCAACCGGCAAAUUGCAAGUGAUACGGGCAGUCGUGAGUACAGUUGAGGUAGACGGAAUUCGUGGUGGAGCGGUGAGAUGCUUAGA